GGUUCGAUGGCGUAGUUGGUUAUCGCAUCUGUCUAACAUCCUGAGUCAUGUGUCUCUUUUCACAGAAGGUCCCCGGUUCGAGCCCGGGUCGAAUCA
Rhodocollybia butyracea is the source of this 96-nucleotide non-coding RNA. The record is from the annotation of a GenBank genome assembly. NCBI's taxonomy places the organism in Eukaryota, Fungi, Basidiomycota, Agaricomycetes, Agaricales, Omphalotaceae.